Molecule: ribosomal RNA, 424 nt
Filed under: Fusobacteriota bacterium
Lineage: Bacteria; Fusobacteriati; Fusobacteriota
Description: Fusobacteria bacterium partial 16S ribosomal RNA
Rfam family: Bacterial small subunit ribosomal RNA
Source: RNAcentral
UGAGGAAUAUUGGUCAAUGGGCGAGAGCCUGAACCAGCCAAGUCGCGUGAAGGAAGACAGUCCUAAGGAUUGUAAACUUCUUUUAUACGGGAAUAACGGGCGAUACGAGUAUUGCAUUGAAUGUACCGUAAGAAUAAGCAUCGGCUAACUACGUGCCAGCAGCCGCGGUAAUACGGAGGAUGCGAGCGUUAUCCGGAUUUAUUGGGUUUAAAGGGUGCGUAGGUUGUUCGGUAAGUCAGCGGUGAAACCUGAGCGCUCAACGUUCAGCCUGCCGUUGAAACUGCCGGGCUUGAGUUCAGUGGCGGCAGGCGGAAUUCGUGGUGUAGCGGUGAAAUGCAUAGAGAUCACGAGGAACUCCGAUUGCGAAGGCAGCUUGCCAUACUGCGACUGACACUGAAGCACGAAGGCGUGGGUAUCAAACAGG